Long non-coding RNA from Marmota monax (woodchuck), 702 nucleotides. RefSeq lists it as uncharacterized. The transcript is spliced from 3 exons. NCBI's taxonomy places the organism in Eukaryota, Metazoa, Chordata, Mammalia, Rodentia, Sciuridae. The record is from RefSeq and is a predicted model, not a curated record.
CCCUCCAGAGCUCCUCCCUCUGCUAAGCCUCCUCCCAGCCUGCUGUGCUUGUCCGUUGGGACACUUCAUCUGGACACUGUCCCUGGACUUUGGCGUUCCUGUGGGAUGAGCUUCUGAACCUGAUUCCCAGGAGGGAGACAAGCGCAAGAGCAACACCCCUCAGAUCCUGCAGGGGUGUCCCUUUCCCACCUCCCUGCCUGGUCCCUGCUGUGUCAAGGCUUUGGAGUGAGCUGUUGGCCACAUCAGGAAUCAAGGCUUCCAAAACCACAGGCAGCCUGCGCUGGGUCCUGCUGGGGGAAGCCGUGGUCUUGCUGGCCAGCAGGGCCCUGUCCAUCUGUAGUUGACUACAGACACCACCAGCAGUAAACUAACGCUACAGAAUGACAAAGACUGAAGUUCCUUAGAGGAAUGGAGGCUGGCCUCCUGCAGGAUCACAGGAUAGACAAGUAUCUACGCUGGGAUGGAAACUUGGAAAUUGAAACUACCUCUCAGGCAGCAGCGGUUCCCCUGGUGACGAGACCUUGCAGGACCAGUGCCAGGGUCAUGAUCAACCAGACCCGACCUGACCAAGAUGGCCAGCUCUGCAAAUCCCCUCAGCUCUUGCCUUACCCCAAAGCUGUUGCCGACACCCCAAAGACAGCACUCAGACCUGUCUUCCCCAUGGGGCGGUGCUGAGAAUAAACCCUUUUUUGCUUUACUGUU